AAGUCCCGCAACGAGCGCAACCCUUGUCCUUAGUUGCCAGCAUUAAGUUGGGCACUCUAAGGAGACUGCCGGUGAUAAACCGGAGGAAGGUGGGGACGACGUCAAGUCAUCAUGCCCCUUAUGUCCAGGGCUGCACGCAUGCUACAAUGGCAAGUACAACGAGUCGCAAUACCGCGAGGUGGAGCAAAUCUCUUAAAGCUUGUCUCAGUUCGGAUAGGAGUCUGCAACUCGACUCCUUGAAGUUGGAGUCGCUAGUAAUCGCAAAUCAGCAAAGUUGCGGUGAAUACGUUCCCGGGCCUU
RNAcentral lists this ribosomal RNA (300 nucleotides) under uncultured bacterium. RNAcentral describes it as "bacterial SSU rRNA". It matches the Rfam family "Bacterial small subunit ribosomal RNA", at positions 1082 to 1382 of the family's 1533-position model. The record is from RNAcentral.